Molecule: ribosomal RNA, 253 nt
Filed under: uncultured bacterium
Lineage: Bacteria
Description: partial 16S ribosomal RNA
Rfam family: Bacterial small subunit ribosomal RNA
Source: RNAcentral
UACGUAGGGGGCUAGCGUUGUCCGGAUUUAUUGGGCGUAAAGAGCGUGUAGGCGGCCAGGUAGGUCUGCUGUGAAAACUCGAGGCUCAACCUCGAGAUGUCGGCGGAAACCAUCUGGCUAGAGUCCGGAAGAGGAGAGCGGAAUUCCUGGUGUAGCGGUGAAAUGCGCAGAUAUCAGGAAGAACACCCGUGGCGAAGGCGGCUCUCUGGGACGGUACUGACGCUGAGACGCGAAAGCGUGGGGAGCGAACAGG